This 144-nucleotide ribosomal RNA is filed under the name uncultured ammonia-oxidizing bacterium. Its description in RNAcentral is "partial 16S ribosomal RNA". It matches the Rfam family "Bacterial small subunit ribosomal RNA", at positions 338 to 474 of the family's 1533-position model. The record is from RNAcentral.
CCUACGGGAGGCAGCAGUGGGGAAUUUUGGACAAUGGGCGCAAGCCUGAUCCAGCCAUUCCGCGUGAGUGAAGAAGGCCUUCGGGUUGUAAAGCUCUUUCGCAAGGGAAGAAAACUUACCUUCUAAUAAAGGGUGAGGCUGACG